This is an unclassified non-coding RNA of Pongo abelii (Sumatran orangutan), 117 nucleotides long. It matches the Rfam family "Metazoan signal recognition particle RNA". From Rfam's summary of the family: The signal recognition particle (SRP) is a universally conserved ribonucleoprotein. It is involved in the co-translational targeting of proteins to membranes. NCBI's taxonomy places the organism in Eukaryota, Metazoa, Chordata, Mammalia, Primates, Hominidae. The record is from Ensembl.
GCCGGGCGUGGUGGCUCACGCCUGUAAUCCCAGCACUUUGGGAGGCCGAGGUGGGUGGAUCACCUGAGGUCGGGAGUUCGAGACCAGCCUGACCAACAUGGAGAAACCCCAUCUCUA